Long non-coding RNA from Nicotiana tabacum (common tobacco), 961 nucleotides. RefSeq lists it as uncharacterized. The record is from RefSeq and is a predicted model, not a curated record. NCBI's taxonomy places the organism in Eukaryota, Viridiplantae, Streptophyta, Magnoliopsida, Solanales, Solanaceae.
AGAGUGUCGCCCCCAUUCUCUCUCACUCUCUCCUCUCACCCCAUUACCCAUUCAACCCUAGCCGCUACCGAUGGUCCACCACCGACCGACCUCCUCUCUCCUACUUUUCCCAUCACCACUAGUAUCAUGUCACCUGUCUUUUCUCCCUCGCCUCGUCAUAUUUCUGAGAUCAUCAGAAAUCUCUGAACUUCCAGUGGUUGUCAUUCGGUUAACCAUAUAAGGAUCUUGAAGAUCCAGAGGUCGCAUGGGGAAAUAUCCGCAAGAACAGGCGAGUCAUAGCAUCUUCAGGACUCAGAGCAUCUCAGACCAGUGGAGAUUCAACUCUCUCUGCGGAGAUCUAAGCCUAAUGGUUCCCUCUUCCUAACAUCAAUCUCUCCUAGGCAUCUGAAAAGGUGAGUUUCUUCAAUCUCAAAUAAUCUUUUUCUUCUGCCUCCCCCUUCUUCUUUCAAUUUUAGAGAACCGUCAGUUUUUGAAAUUCAAAACCCGAGUUCUGGUGAGCCACAACUAUGGCUAUAAAUACCGGAGUUCAUGACUUUCACUGACAUCUAGAUACCACAACUGAAACUUACUAACUCACUUUAAAACACUCUCAAUCUCUCAGCUCUAACUUAUUUUUCUUUUUGUUGUUUUCAAAUUCGGUCGAGCUUGAGUUCUGGGUUCGAUUUUGGAGACGGAUCUUUGACAAUCUUGUUCUAGCCCUAGUUUGCUGCUCAGCAUAAGAUUGAAGUACUAACGGGCUGAACCGACGUCGUGUGGUUAGGUAAACAACAAAGGAUCUGACAUGUUCAUCUGGUGGUCAUCUUGGCGCGUAGGCGCAGCUGCAGAGGAAACUUUAUAGUGAGCUGCAUUUCAGGCUAUGCAUCGCAGCCCACAGAGUCUUCAUCUUACUAUUUACUUUAUCCUGUCUUAUUUACAUUCCGGACAUAUGUUGUAUUAUUAUUAUAUUCCUUAGCAAAUGCUC